Molecule: ribosomal RNA, 207 nt
Filed under: uncultured bacterium
Lineage: Bacteria
Description: partial 16S ribosomal RNA
Rfam family: Bacterial small subunit ribosomal RNA
Source: RNAcentral
CUCGUAGGCGGUUCGUCGCGUCCGGUGUGAAAGUCCGUCGCUUAACGGUGGAUCCGCGCCGGGUACGGGCGGGCUUGAGUGCGGUAGGGGAGACUGGAAUUCCCGGUGUAACGGUGGAAUGUGUAGAUAUCGGGAAGAACACCAAUGGCGAAGGCAGGUCUCUGGGCCGUCACUGACGCUGAGGAGCGAAAGCGUGGGGAGCGAACA